AUUGAACGCUGGCGGCAGGCCUAACACAUGCAAGUCGAAUGGUAACAGGAAACAGCUUGCUGUUUCGCUGACGAGUGGCGGACGGGUGAGUAAUGUCUGUGAAACUGCCUGAUGGAGGGGGAUAACUACUGGAAACGGUAGCUAAUACCGCAUAACGUCGCAAGACCAAAGAGGGGGACCUUCGGGCCUCUUGCCCUCAGAUGUGCCCAGAUGGGAUUAGCUAGUAGGUGGGGUAACGGCUCACCUAGGCGACGAUCCCUAGCUGGUCUGAGAGGAUGACCAGCCACACUGGAACUGAGACACGGUCCAGACUCCUACGGGAGGCAGCAGUGGGGAAUAUUGCACAAUGGGCGCAAGCCUGAUGCAGCCAUGCCGCGUGUAUGAAGAAGGCCUUCGGGUUGUAAAGUACUUUCAGCGGGGAGGAAGGGAGUAAAGUUAAUACCUUUGCUCAUUGACGUUACCCGCAGAAGAAGCACCGGCUAACUCCGUG
RNAcentral lists this ribosomal RNA (490 nucleotides) under uncultured bacterium. RNAcentral describes it as "partial 16S ribosomal RNA". It matches the Rfam family "Bacterial small subunit ribosomal RNA", at positions 30 to 507 of the family's 1533-position model. The record is from RNAcentral.